UUUUUAACACAAGUAUGUCCCAUGCAAUAUUUGGGACAUACUUAUACUAAAA
This 52-nucleotide microRNA precursor is filed under the name Ailuropoda melanoleuca (giant panda). Its description in RNAcentral is "mir-1302 microRNA precursor family". It matches the Rfam family "mir-1302 microRNA precursor family". Lineage: Eukaryota; Metazoa; Chordata; Mammalia; Carnivora; Ursidae. The record is from Rfam by way of RNAcentral.